Molecule: long non-coding RNA, 3371 nt
Organism: Sarcophilus harrisii (Tasmanian devil)
Lineage: Eukaryota; Metazoa; Chordata; Mammalia; Dasyuromorphia; Dasyuridae
Source: Ensembl
CCUGGAUAGAGGGGACUAUUGCUCCUUUCCCACCCUUCCAAUCCCAAUCCCCAUGCCCAAACCAUCAAUCACAGGAAAAUUUAGAAACCAUUCCUUUCUUUAUUAAACAUAGCUUGCAAGUGAUAAAUAUUACAAAGUUUUUUUUUUUCUUUUAAUCCUUUCUCCAAAAAUUAGCUUAUUAUUUGAAUCUGUCACUGCAGAAGCGCUUGGCAGUAUCUGAAACAGAUGGGGGUGUAUUUGUCCUUUUGAAAACCAGUUUCUAUUGGUCUUAGUCUUUUUAUUUCUUUCCCAAACACAAUGCAGAAAAUAAAAAUGAAGAGGCAAAAUAAGGAAACUUAGAGUUGUGCAAAAGGGUCUUGCUCCCCCCCCUCCUGCCUGCCCCCACGAAAGGGCAUCUCCUAAUCCCUCAACUCCUCCCCCACCAAAUAUCCCACCCACUGCCUCCAGACAUCAUCUAGUCAAGAAUUUGAAGGAAGCCGAUGGUGGGCUGUCUGCAAUGUUAGGGGUGGGAUAAGGAACCUUGGUCAUCUAAGGGGUGAAGUAGGAAGAAAAGAUGUGCCUAAUUCUCCUCUAACAAGGAGUCAGCAUCCAAGGUCCUGUGGUCUCCAAAGGCAGUGGGACUGUAGAGGAUAUGAGACACUUCUACAGCCAGUCUGACUAGAAACUAAGGGCAUUUGCACCUGUGUCCAAGGCUAGCCCAACAGCCUUGGUGGGAGGGAAGACCAUGGAUUGUUGUCUCACUGGGCACUCAAGACCCACAUCGAAGAGAUCAUUGCCAUUCUAGCCAUAGACUUAAUUCUGCUGCCAGUCUAAAGAGAUGCCAACUUGAAGGGACCACUGGAUGCCGCCAGAUUCUUCCUCCCUGACUUAUUCUAACUCGUUCCUCCCUCCCCUUUUGUGGAUGGUAGUUGGGGAGUGGCCAGAUAUAUUUUAAGAAUAUAUGUAAUUCAAACUUGUCUUAAUUUUGUCCUGUUACCCAGCAGAAAUCACGAGUAGAAUUCAUCUCUUGACUGUCUCUCACCACCCUAUCCUUCCUCCAUACAAAGGGCUCUCCACUCUGCCUCGCCCAUCCCCAAACCCAGCAAGAGUCAUGAGCUUCCCAAUUUGGUUGAGGCUUCAUCUCAAUUUAUACUUAUCACAGAUGUUAGUGCUCAACUGAAUGUGGUACACUACAUUAUAUGAAACUUUCUUGGGAUGACAAUCACAAAGAGUUUCUUCCUACUUAACCCACAUUUCCUCCCCUACCAACCUUCUAAGACAAUUAGCCCAAGCUCUUUCCUCUGGAUAAUAUUUUUAGGGUAUGGGGUGUGGGAGAGAUCUCUGGUGUAAGAAAAUCUGACACUGUGGUUUGUUAUAUAGUAGGUAUAUUGUAUAUAGGCUGAUGCAAUCAGAGGAAAAAAAAACAGUGCAAAUACAAUUACAGUUCAUAAUACUUGGUUUCAAUGCCCCCUGGGAACUGUUCCGUUCCUCAGCUACCUCCCAGUCCCCCAGCAUCCCCCACUUCCCCCAGAGUGUCAACCUAAUGCUGGGAAAGGAGGUGGGGCAGCUGGGGUGGGGGGAGGGCUCUGCCAAGGCAGUGCUGGUGACCUGGAGGGGCAGCUCCAGGGUGGGGAGGCAAGGCACAGUUGGGGGGGAGGGGGGGCAUCUCCAAAGCGGGGUGGGGAUUCAGGGAAGCCAGCUGCCAAACUGGCCUAUCCCCUUGCCCCAUCAUCCACAGCCCUGCCUCCUAACCCCCAGAAACCCUUUUGCACGGAUCAUACACAAACGGGCACAGUACAAAAUGACGUAACACAGUUUCACAAUAUCCAUGGCUAGGGCUUUUUUUUCCACUUUUUUCAUGUUUUUUUUUUUUUUUUUUCUACACAAUGUACAAUUCUUCCUUUUUAAAUGGAUCAAGAAAUAGCUUAUAUACACGAAUGAGUCCUUGUUAUAACAUCUCGGCAGCAAAUAUCAUAAGCUAAUGAAGAUCUCAUUGGGAGAGGGAACCUGGGCUUGGGGGAGAGGGUAGGAAUGGGGAAGGGAGAAGGGUUAUGCUUUUAGGAUUGGGGAGGAUGGGAAAGAGGGAUCAAAAGUAAAAUAUCAAGAAGCAUCUUUACAAAGCAUUUCUAUAGCUAAUUUCUUUAAAAAGGGAAAGGAAAGGAAACCAAAGCAGGAAAACACUUUAUCUGCAUCUUAAAAAAAAAAGAAGAAGAAGAAAAAUAGCAGGAAGAAAAAGAAAAGAAAAAAGAGAAAGGAAAAGAGAAUAAAAGAGCAAAGCAGGGGAGAGAGAAAAAAGAACAGAGAAAUUUCUACCAUACAUUACAUCCAAAAUGUGGAAAAAAAUAUUUAUUCCAGGGACAGGUAGGGGACUGGAUGCUAUGGUCAAUGACAAAAUAAAAAUGGGACCUCAGUUCUCAUUUUUUACUUUCCACUGGAGGCCUUUUGCCCUAAAUCCAUCCCCUUGCUUCUAGGGAGCAGGUACUGCCUAUAGCCUGCUGGUCCCAGUUUUCCUCAAGCACCUCUGGAGAUUAGUGUGGGGAGAAGCCAUGUAGUACUGGUGGACCCCUCAUUCUACCUCCACCUUGAGCACCAGAAGGAAGACUCCCAGAAUAAUGGUUAUUUUCUACCUUCCUUAAGAUAAAGGAUGUCCUACCUAAAGGACCUCAGUUCAGUGUCCACACAGACCAGGGCCAUUAGGGACCUUAGAUACUUGGGAGUUAGAAGAUGAGUUAUGAGCAGAUAUAAGGGAUAUUGGAAGGGGAAAGUAGAGACAAAAGGAAUCAGUGAUGAAAGGGAGAAUUUGGGGAGAGAAAGGGGAAAAGAGAGAUGGAGGACUAACACUUUACCAUGAUUCAGAAGACCAUAUUGGCCAAUCCACCCAACACUAACCUCUGAAAGAAUGGGGAUAGGGAGGGAAGUAGGGACCAGUGGAACAAGAACAAAACCUCAGCUAACAAGCAAAGGAUCACAGAUCUCUAUCAACAAGCAGCAUCUGUAGCUUGAUCUUGAAGAAGAAAGAAGAGGAAAGUAGGGAAGACAUGCUGCAUUUCUCCCUCCACCACAUCACAUAAUUUCCCUCUCCCUGGAAAUAGGUACUAGAACUACAGGUUUGCCUUCAUGCAAAAAUCACCUUAUACACCCAUUUCCAAGGCCAAUACAGUGGUAGCUGGUUCCUAGGGUAGGGAUUUAAACUCAAGGCUGGGACUACCACCAGCCACAUGGUAUUGCACAUUCCUUUUUUCCUUACUUUUAAUCUCAAAUGACACACCUGGGCACCUUGUACCUUUGGGCAGGGGAAGCUGGAUACAUGACAGAAAUGGCACUUUAUCAUGUGUUUGUGUCGGGAUAGAAGGUGGAGAGGGGAAGGAGAGGCUAGAGAGACAUGCCACAUG